UUAAGUGACAAAGCGUACAAGGUGGAUGCCUUGGCAAUCAGAGGCGAAGAAGGACGUGCUAAUCUGCGAAAAGCUUGGAUGAGUCGAUAAGAGGCGUUUAAUCCAAGAUGUCCGAAUGGGGAAACCCAGUGGGUGAAGAACCUACUAUCAUUAUCUGAAUUCAUAGGAUAAUGAGGCGAACCGGGAGAACUGAAACAUCUAAGUACCCCGAGGAAAAGAAAUCAACCGAGAUUUCGUUAGUAGCGGCGAGCGAACGCGAAGGAGCCUGUUAGUGAUAAUGACAGAGACAGAGGAACAAGCUGGGAAGCUUGGCGACACAGGGUGAUAGCCCCGUACUCGAAGUCCGGGUUAUGGUACUAAGCUAACGAUAAGUAAGGCGGGACACGUGAUAUCCUGUUUGAAGAUGGGGGGACCAUCCUCCAAGGCUAAAUACUCCUGAUUGACCGAUAGUGAACCAGUACUGUGAAGGAAAGGCGAAAAGAACCCCGGUGAGGGGAGUGAAAUAGAACCUGAAACCUUGUACGUACAAGCAGUGGGAGCCUGAAAGGGUGACUGCGUACCUUUUGUAUAAUGGGUCAGCGACUUAUAUUUUGUAGCGAGGUUAACCGAAUAGGGGAGCCGAAGGGAAACCGAGUCUUAACUGGGCGAUUAGUUGCAAGGUAUAGACCCGAAACCCGGUGAUCUAGCCAUGGGCAGGUUGAAGGUUGGGUAACACUAACUGGAGGACCGAACCGACUAAUGUUGAAAAAUUAGCGGAUGACUUGUGGCUGGGGGUGAAAGGCCAAUCAAACCGGGAGAUAGCUGGUUCUCCCCGAAAUCUAUUUAGGUAGAGCCUUGAGCGGACACCUUCGGGGGUAGAGCACUGUUUCGGCUAGGGGUCCAUCCCGGAUUACCAACCCGAUGCAAACUGCGAAUACCGAAGAGUGAUACUCAGGAGACACACGGCGGGUGCUAACGUUCGUCGUGGAGAGGGAAACAACCCAGACCGCCAGCUAAGGUCCCAAAGUCUAUAUUAAGUGGGAAACGAAGUGGGAAGGCUUAGACAGCUAGGAUGUUGGCUUAGAAGCAGCCAUCAUUUAAAGAAAGCGUAAUAGCUCACUAGUCGAGUCGGCCUGCGCGGAAGAUGUAACGGGGCUCAAAUAUAGCACCGAAGCUGCGGCAUCAGUAGCAAUACUGUUGGGUAGGGGAGCGUUGUGUAAGCGGAAGAAGGUGGCUCGAGAGGGCUGUUGGACGUAUCACAAGUGCGAAUGCUGACAUAAGUAACGAUAAAACGGGUGAAAAACCCGUUCGCCGGAAGACCAAGGGUUCCUGUCCAACGUUAAUCGGGGCAGGGUGAGUCGGCCCCUAAGGCGAGGCUGAAAAGCGUAGUCGAUGGGAAACGGGUUAAUAUUCCCGUACUUGGAUAAACUGCGAUGUGGGGACGGAGCAGGUUAGGUUAGCGUGCUGUUGGAUAUGCACGUUUAAGUUGGUAGGUGGGGAGUUUAGGCAAAUCCGGACUUCCUUAACACUGAGAGAUGAUGACGAGGCUCUACGGAGCUGAAGUAACCGAUACCACACUUCCAGGAAAAGCCACUAAGCUUCAGGUUUAUCUAAACCGUACUGAAAACCGACACAGGUGGUCAGGUAGAGAAUACUCAGGCGCUUGAGAGAACUCGGGUGAAGGAACUAGGCAAAAUAGCACCGUAACUUCGGGAGAAGGUGCGCCGGCGUAGAUUGUAAGGGUUUACCCCUGAAGGUUGAACCGGUCGAAGUGACCCGCUGGCUGCAACUGUUUAUUAAAAACACAGCACUCUGCAAACACGAAAGUGGACGUAUAGGGUGUGAUGCCUGCCCGGUGCUGGAAGGUUAAUUGAUGGUGUUAUCGCAAGAGAAGCACUUGAUCGAAGCCCCAGUAAACGGCGGCCGUAACUAUAACGGUCCUAAGGUAGCGAAAUUCCUUGUCGGGUAAGUUCCGACCUGCACGAAUGGCAUAAUGAUGGCCAGGCUGUCUCCACCCGAGACUCAGUGAAAUUGAAAUCGCCGUGAAGAUGCGGUGUACCCGCGGCUAGACGGAAAGACCCCGUGAACCUUUACUAUAGCUUGACACUGAACAUUGAAUUUUGAUGUGUAGGAUAGGUGGGAGACUAUGAAGAUGAUACGCCAGUAUUGUUGGAGUCGACCUUGAAAUACCACCCUUUAACGUUUGAUGUUCUAACGAAGAUGACGAAACGUGGUCUCGGACAGUGUCUGGUGGGUAGUUUGACUGGGGCGGUCUCCUCCCAAAGAGUAACGGAGGAGCACGAAGGUUUGCUAAUGACGGUCGGACAUCGUCAGGUUAGUGCAAUGGUAUAAGCAAGCUUAACUGCGAGACGGACAAGUCGAGCAGGUACGAAAGUAGGUCAUAGUGAUCCGGUGGUUCUGCAUGGAAGGGCCAUCGCUCAACGGAUAAAAGGUACUCCGGGGAUAACAGGCUGAUACCGCCCAAGAGUUCAUAUCGACGGCGGUGUUUGGCACCUCGAUGUCGGCUCAUCACAUCCUGGGGCUGAAGUAGGUCCCAAGGGUAUGGCUGUUCGCCAUUUAAAGUGGUACGCGAGCUGGGUUUAGAACGUCGUGAGACAGUUCGGUCCCUAUCUGCCGUGGGCGUUGGAGAAUUGGUUGGGGCUGCUCCUAGUACGAGAGGACCGGAGUGGACGCACCGCUGGUGUUCCGGUUGUGUCGCCAGACGCAUUGCCGGGUAGCUAAGUGCGGAAGAGAUAAGUGCUGAAAGCAUCUAAGCACGAAACUUGCCAAGAGAUGAGUUCUCCCAGAUUAUAAAUCUGUAAGGGUUGUUUAAGACGAAGACGUAGAUAGGCAUGGUGUGUAAGUGGUGCGAGCCAUUGAGCUAACAUGUACUAAUUGCCCGAGAGGCUUAGCCAU
This 2895-nucleotide ribosomal RNA is filed under the name Aggregatibacter aphrophilus. RNAcentral's name for it is "23S ribosomal RNA". It matches the Rfam family "Bacterial large subunit ribosomal RNA". The record is from RNAcentral. RNAcentral also lists the same sequence under 2 other names. Lineage: Bacteria; Pseudomonadati; Pseudomonadota; Gammaproteobacteria; Pasteurellales; Pasteurellaceae.